This 219-nucleotide unclassified non-coding RNA is filed under the name uncultured Actinomycetes bacterium. RNAcentral's name for it is "uncultured actinobacterium contains 16S-23S intergenic spacer region". The record is from RNAcentral. Lineage: Bacteria; Bacillati; Actinomycetota; Actinomycetes.
UCCGGUUUGGCACCGGCAUAUGUCAAACCCAGGUAAGGUUCUUCGCGUUGCAUCGAAUUAAUCCGCAUGCUCCGCCGCUUGUGCGGGCCCCCGUCAAUUCCUUUGAGUUUUAGCCUUGCGGCCGUACUCCCCAGGCGGGGCGCUUAAUGCGUUAGCUGCGGCACGGAACCCAUGGAAUAGGCCCCACACCUAGCGCCCAACGUUUACGGUGUGGACUAC